UGAGAAUGAGAAGCAGGGCAUUACUUAGCAGGAUGAAGAGGCUGAGCAAAUAAACAUGGACUGAUCCAGUGCCAUGCAGCUAUAAUGGAAGGACAUCCUGGUCACUCUGGAGCAGUAACAGCUUUACCUGGUGUCCACUCACUGCUGCUCGUAAAGCCAUGGAGAAAACUACCCACCGUUUCCUAAUAGAAGAAGGUGUGGUGACUUGCUGUGACUUUUGUGAGAGAACAAGUCUUCAUGAUAGAAGAUAAUAAAAGUAUGAUGACAGCAGAGUGCUGAAGUUUAUCAGGGCCUGUUUCUCAUUGGAUACAUGCCAGACUGUCCUUCAGGAUAUAGCCCAGCGAGUAGGAGAAGAAAUGUGUUUGAACUUGGCAUAAUUGAAAUGUACAUAAAGGGACAGACCAGAGCUGAUUCAUCAGUACCAUUUCCAUACUACGGUUGCUCUCAGGAAAAGGACUGCAUUGAUGAGUUGGUACAACAACCCUCCCAGCCAUAGAAGAAUACAUCUUACAAGAAGAUCCAUAGGUGACUAAUAGGCCAGACUGGUCAUCCCUCACCCACAGUGGACUUCAUAUUAAUCCUGUGUGGGGAGAGGAAAGUGCCUGUAGGACUUGGCAAAAUUUGCUUAUCCUUUUCUCAUGAAGACAGGCAUUUGUUCCUGAGUGGUGUGGGAGGUGGCUUCUCCUUUCUCUCUGCGUUUAGCCACCAUAAAAACAGGUAAUUCCAGAAAACAGUCUAAUAUGCAAUAGCAGACCCAAAUGUCAUUGUGGAGGUCUGAGACUCUCUCUCCUAACACACAGCUAAACUGGCAAGUGUUUUCACAAGCCUGAUAGUGAAUGCCCCAAACCAGGUUAAAUGGAGCUUACGAGGAAUGAGCAGGGAGAGAACAAACACCAAGGGGUGAGAAAGACGAAAAAGCACUAAGAACAAUGAGAAAGAAAUUCAAAGUGUAGAUCAUGGAAAGUGUAACAGAGGAGGAUCGUGAACAAAGAAAAAUUGAGAAGAAAAUUUUUGAAAAAGGAAGAGGUCAGAAGAGAGAAUAAUGGCACAGAAGCUGGUAUUGAAGAAAAGGGGUGAGAAAGUAGGAAGAAAGAUGAAAAAAAGUACAGCCACUGAUUUGAUUUGCCAUUUUCCAUUAGAAAUGUAUCCUUUUGCCACUUCUGGAUGCCAUACAGAUAUAAAAGAAAAUAGAAAGUUUUCAGCUUAAUGGGGUGAAACUCCCUUCCAGAACCCUGGCAUCAAAACCACCUGCAAAAUCCAAUAAAACAACCUACCGUAUUAAAUCGAUGUCAGUGUUAAAUAACAUCCUGUGCCAAGCAGGGAGAUGCCAGCCCAGCUGGAUGAAUACAUGCCAGAGCGUUUAGAUGAUAACUGGUAUGAUGAAUCAAAUUCUUAAGCAAAUAGAUACCUAGGCAGGGAGCAGAGCGACCAAAUUCCAUGGUGCACUACCCUGCUAUCUCCACUGGGUUGCAAAAUGUAUGAGUCAGAAGAUAGCUCUUGGCAGUAUCUGUGGAGAGUACUAUGAUCCCCACAUCAGCAAACCCGUGCGUUCUUACUUCCUGAUGUUUCUGGGCCCUUUUCAAGUGUGCUUUCUAGCAGUACUCUGCCCCAAUGUCUAUGUGGCAGUCAACCAAGGUCUGCAUCAGUGAGAAAGGGUUCAUUUACUAGAAGGAAACGGGUGCUGCAAGCAGGACAUCAGGUGCUCAGGACAUAGCAACCUCAGAGUCCAACCUCUUGCAACACAGUUGUGGUCCAGAGUCUGAGCUGCCGUCAUAAAAACAACAAACAGGCUAGAUCCUCAGCUGGCACAGAGCCGUAGAAGGUCAAGAUCUGUCUAUCUCUUGUAGCAUUGAAGAUUAUGAUUAAAAGGAUGCCCAGGAUAUAACAGAUGAAGUAAAGAGUACUGAAUUCACUAGAAACCUUAAGUAAAAGCCUGAGCUGCUUAAUUUAUCCUUGGAAACAUUUUUACCACUGUGAUUUUUUUACCUUUCUUGUGGGUGCUGUCAUAGAUGGCCUGUGGGAACAAUAGAAUUGUCAUUUCUGGAUGUUUUCAAGAAUAUCACUAUUGGGACUGAAAUAGAUGCAGCUGAAGCAGAGAAACAGACUAGAUCAUCUCUUGGUGUCUCUUCCAACCUAUUUUUUCUAUGAUUUUAGCGAAUGCAUUCAAUUACUGUCCUAAGCUUGCAGUGUUACCCUGCUUCCGUGAGAUUUGUGUAACAGAAGCCCCAACUGCCAAACCCCUUUGCUUCCUCCAUGGCUACUCAUGCAAUACAAAAUGUGGGAUUGUCAGUUUUGCAGAAGGUUGGGAAAUCAAGAUCUGAACCAUGGAGACAGUGUAAAAUAAAAAGUAAAGAAAGAUAUCAAAGUUCACAUGUAGCCAGCUUAGAACAGUGUUUCAUUUCCUGCUCAGAAUAAUUUUCUACUUCAAAUUUGGGUGACAGUUGCCACCAAAACUCCCAUGUGUUCACAACAGUACUGAAGUAAGCUGGGCCUGGAUUCUGAAGAAAGAAGCCAGAACAAGGUGCUAGAUCUCCUUCUAGGACUUUCCCAAAAGAGAUUUAGCCCAUCAGAGUUGGACAUCAGCUCUCUGAGCAUCCUGCUAUCCCUUCACAUCCACCAAGUGCUCUUGACACUUCACCCUGCUUGCCUUCUGCCAGUGAUUGGAACCAACGUGAAGUCUCUGGCUGCAUUCCCCUCACUGCAGGAUGCGACAGCACAGGCCAUAUGAGGCAAAAACGAGAGGUAGAGCUCUCUAGCAGAAACCAGUUGUCUCCUGGUGAUUUACAGACCAGUAAGAUCUGCUACACCAUCAGGUUACCUCCGUCUUGUAGGGAAAUGGUUCCAAAAUACCUCCACUUCUGUUUUUCUGACAUCAGACUACACCUGAGUAUGGGUUCAUUUGUUCUGUCGCUCCCAGUGGUACCACAGGUCUGUCAGCAACUUACUUCUCCUUUGCCCUUUACUUCCUAAAUCAAGAAUUAAUAAGGAGAACAAUUUGCUAACUUGGUUUUAGGUGUGCUGCCAGCAUAACAGACAUGGACUUACGUUUUCAGAAAAACACUGGUAGCUGACAAGUACUGCAGAGAGAUUAAAGAUAUGGGAGGACUGUGAGCAAUACCUGAGAGAAACACUGCUACUGAUAAGCUAAAAUCAGUGUUUAUUCCCCAGCACUCCUGGUAUCAAAAGAGUCAUUUGCAAGGUCUCAGCUCACUGUUGUGCAUUUCUGGCACCUGACCUUCUCCGCGUGGCUGUUGUGCAUCUGUUAGCCCGUGAGCUUCCCACUGCAUGGAUCAGACACUGAGAAGGGGGAGGGGAAAGGAAGAGCAGAGGAAGGCAGGAGAGGAGAUAAAUACCUAAAUAUUUUUUUUAUUUAUUUUAUACAUCAUCUAGGGAAAAAGACACUGGUAGGAGCUGAAUGAUAUCUGAACUCUGCUGUGCUAACAUGACAGCUUUAUGGAGAGGCAAUACUGGGUCAGAAGCCCAGUUCCCCCUACCUUUGGAUCAAGAACUGUUACACAGGGGAAAUAAGACAUUCUCAGGUAAAAGCUGUGGUAGAGUGGUAAAGAGCAGACCUGAAACCUUCCUUUGCACUAUCACUGUGUGAUGUGGUUAUAUAGCUAAUAAAUAUUGACCAUUUCAUAUGAAAUAAGGGCAGAAGAGGAAGGUAGAAUGAAUCUUACACAGCUCGCUGCUUUUUGCAGGCUGCAGUCCACACAGGAGAUACCCUCAGUCCCACCAACAGCCCCAUGGCAGAGCAGGCAUGUGGGCUCCAUACUGCAAUGCAAAACCAAAAAACAAACCUGAGCUCAUGCAGCUGCAACAUCCUGACUCCAUCAUUUGUGCUGUUUUUCCUCCUUCCUCUCCCCUCUUGCAUCUGCCUGCAGCCACUCCAGCUUGCUUUGCCUCUCCCUCCCAUCCCCUGUCCUCCUGUCCCCUCAUUUCCUAGAGCCUCCGCUGGCUCCUUUUGUGGCUUAAGGAGGAGAAAGCUGGGAGCAGGGGAUAGCAGGUCACCUGAGCAGAACCAGGAACCAGCAACUAGCAGACUUUCAACCUCAAAAACAUGAGUUAGUGGUCAGGAUACUGCCCCGGGGUGGACAGGACUGGGGAAGGUGAUUACAGCUCAUGGUAAUCUCUGUUCAUGGCUUUUCCUAGGCUGCUCUGGUAGAGUGUUAUAGCCCAGGCCAAAGGAAAUUCUGCAGCUGAUUUCACUAACAGGAUACAAUCAGCCUCUGUUGGCACUGAAUUCAGCCCUGAAGGUGUAUGAAUAAUGUUUCCCUAACUGGCAUCUGACAUUGCUCCUUGCAUUACGCUCUGAUUAGCGGGAGACAAGCGAGGCCUCUCUGACCAUCCAGUGGUUCAUGGUGUUCAAGACAAACUAUGAAUACCCACUGAAGGACGGAGGAGGAACAGGAUAGAAUGGGAUACAUGGGUUAUAAAUCGUCACCCUGAUCCCAGCUAGAAACCAGGCAAGGGUCCUAUGCCCGUUCAGCCAGUUAAAUGGGUACACGUGCAGACACCCAGCUGCAGAUGACAGCAGAGCAGCAGAUGACCUCAGCCAGCAACAUGAACAGCUGGAAGCCUUCUCUGCACCUCCCUGCAGAGCUGCAGUAGACCCACUUUUCAUGCUGCCCUUAUAUCCAGCCUGCAGCCAUGGGUUGCUACACCUGCCACGCUGCUGGUUCAGUCAUACAGAUGAAAUAUGCUUUUCUCAGACACAGAAGCUAUUAUUUCUGAGAUGAAACAGCAUCCCACACUCUUAUUAACCUGUGCCCUACUUCAGAAGUAAAUCUAAUUUGUGGCUUUCAUAGGUAGCUAGUGCUGGUGUGGGUUUGUCCCUCUGUCUGCUCUGACUUUGCUGCAUACGUUUAUGCAGUGCCAUAUGUGGCAGAGCCCUGUUUACUGUGGCCCGUAAGCAUCACCCCUCACAACAGAAUAAGGAAUUGGGGUGGUUGGAGUUUUUUGUUUCACUAGGGAAGGGAAAAGUAAAAGCACAAAUGUUAAAAAUGUCCCUGCAAAAACAAUUGUUGUAUUCAGCAGAAAAUGAUGUGCUGUCUGCAAAACAAAGUUUGUUAUCUGGGAUAUUCCUGCACAUCUGGUCACCUUCCACAGCGUGUCUCAAGAGUUGCAGCUGUAUGAGAGAGAGUUUCAGAGGAUUCGCUGGACUUCUGAUGGCAAACAUCAAACAAAAUGGGCAUUGUUUCACAAAUACAUGAAGCAAUAGGGAACGGGAAGUAGAAUCUUCAGUAAUGGCCACCACAGAAGCAGUACGUACACUAAUUUAUGUGGUAGAUUCAUCUGCAGAUUAUGUUACCUAACAAGCAAUGCAAGAAAGCAGAGGAAACCCAAACCCUUUUAUAACCGAUGCUAGGUAUUUUCAAUUAUAGUUGGCACAGUUUAUGGACUUUUUUUAAGGGAUUGAACAUAACUGUAUCAAAACCAUGAAGAUGUGUGGAGUGUGAGUGACUGUUCAUGGUCUUAUUGUGGGGGGAAAAAGGACAAGACUGCAAUUUCAGUUCCUCUAGGGGAUUCACCUCAGUUCUGUUGCUGUUCAAUGGAACGACUCCCUUACAUGGCGGUUAUUUCGGUAGCCCCUUGGUGUACUUCGAUGGCUUGCAGCUUGGUGGAAGUUGGCAUGUGAACAGAUUAACAUCUAGAUGGCUACAGUGAACGCUUCCCAGCUUGCCACCCUACAUUGCGGAUUGUCCCUCCUGUCCUUUGAGCUGGUUGGAAGAUAAACUUUGGUCAGUGUAUUAUUACUAUGCCCUUUGUAAUGGAAUAACAUCAGAUAAUAUGUAUUUAGUGGGGAUUUAAAUUCCCAAGCUGAUUACAAGGAGCUGUUAAGACUUGUAAGAUUUAGCAGUGCUCUGUGUGCGACUCUAGAAUGAUGUUUAGCCUUGCAGCGAUGUGCUCAUUCUGACGGUGUCAGAAAGGCUGGGACUUUGUUAGGAAUAAACCUUGAAAGCAUGAACAACUAAAAAUGCUAGCAAUACAAUUUGAUACACAGUAAAAAUUUGGUUUAAGUGGCUGACCAGAAAAACUAGGCUCCUAUAUUCUGAACCCUUCCAGCUUUAACAAGUCGUCUCCUCCAAGAUCCCAGACAUGUGACAAUCUCCCCAUUUCCCAGGAGUAAAAUGAGCAUAGUAAUAUUUACUGUGCACAAAGAAUGUUAUGAAAUGUAAUUAAUGCUCGUAAAAUUCUUUUGAUAUAAAAGAUGCGACAGCAGCACAAAAAAGGAUUGUUAUUUAUUAAUGCCUGUGGAAAAAAGAGGUCUUAAUUCCUACAGACACUCUGUUCUGCGGUAGCCGUCGUUGUGCUGCCGGCCACCGCUGUUGUUCCCGGUUUUAUCACAAUGCCUCCAUUUUCACCCCUCACCCGACACGAAGUGGUAAAAUAACCAGCAGAGCGGGUUCUCCUCCUCCUUCUCCCUCUCCCUCUCCCCAACCUCUCGACGGCCGCAGGCCUGUCCUGGUCGUAAAGGUGAAAUAUUCACAACCCCCUCCCCACCCGGGCCUGCCCCGGCCGAACCCGGUCGGUGCGGGGAUGUCAGACACCAGCACGCCCGAAGCGGGGCUCGGGAACUCCCUUGUCACGGAGGGAGCGUAACCAACGGAAAAAUAAAGGUCUGGCUGGGCCAGACCAGGGGAGUAUCGAGCCCAGGCGGGAGGGAGGCCUGGGCGC
This is a long non-coding RNA of Athene cunicularia (burrowing owl), 6678 nucleotides long. RefSeq lists it as uncharacterized. The record is from RefSeq and is a predicted model, not a curated record. The transcript has 5 exons. Lineage: Eukaryota; Metazoa; Chordata; Aves; Strigiformes; Strigidae.